GUCUAUGGCCAUGCCACCCUGAACAAGCCCAAUGUCUGAUCUCGGAAGCUAAGCAGGGUCAGGUCUGGUUAAUAUUUGGAUGGGAGACCACUUUGGAAUACCAGAUGCUGUAGACG
RNAcentral lists this ribosomal RNA (116 nucleotides) under Pteropus alecto (black flying fox). Lineage: Eukaryota; Metazoa; Chordata; Mammalia; Chiroptera; Pteropodidae. The record is from RNAcentral.